Sipha flava (yellow sugarcane aphid) is the source of this 1299-nucleotide RNA transcript. It is a transcript of the gene named serine/threonine-protein phosphatase alpha-2 isoform-like, with no coding region annotated. Lineage: Eukaryota; Metazoa; Arthropoda; Insecta; Hemiptera; Aphididae. The record is from RefSeq and is a predicted model, not a curated record. The transcript is spliced from 8 exons.
AUCGAGUUCACACAUAGAUUAUAAUUUUAUUAUAUAUGUUUAUCUAACCGUUCAGAUUAUUCUUGUAUAAAAAAAUAUAUAUCGAAAUCGAUGUUUGUGACUAUUGUGCGGUGUUCCUUUUUGAUCAUCGCGACAACGUAAACAAAAGUGUUCUUUUUGUUACUUACUCUUGACCAUAAACAUUGACUGUUUACAACACGGACUAACGCGACGUAACAAUAUUAGAUUUGUCACGAAACGGAAAUUCGCAAACCGAUUCUAAACAAUGGGCAAUAAACUGAACAUUGACAACAUCAUAUCGAACUUGUUGAAAGUGCGUGGUGCUAAAACCAUUAAAAAUGUGCAACUGUCUGGAGGUGAAAUUCGAGAUCUGUGCCUGGAAUCCAGAGAAAUAUUCUUGUCACAGCCUAUGCUUCUGGAACUCAAAGUGCCGUUGAAAAUAUGUGGGGAUAUUCAUGGUCAAUAUUCUGAUUUAUUACGAUUAUUUGAGUAUGGAAGUUUUCCGCCUGAUUCAAAUUACUUAUUUUUGGGUGAUUACGUGGACCGUGGCAAACAGUCUUUGGAAACGAUAUGCUUGUUGUUGGCAUACAAAAUUAAAUAUCCUGAAAAUGUUUUCCUCUUGCGUGGUAAUCAUGAAUGUGCUAGUAUUAAUAGAAUAUAUGGAUUUUAUGAUGAAUGCAAGCGUCGAUAUAAUACUAAACUUUGGAGAAUUUUUACCGAUUGUUUUAACUGUUUGCCUGUUGCAGCAAUAGUAGAGGAAAAGAUUUUCUGUUGUCAUGGUGGUCUAAGUCCAAAUUUGAAAUCAAUGGAACAAAUUAGACAAAUUACAAGACCUACAAACGUACCUGACCAAGGUAUAUUAUGUGAUUUGCUCUGGUCGGAUCCCGAUAAAUAUACAAUAGGCUGGAGUGAAAAUUAUGACAGGGGUGUAUCAUUUAAAUUUGGUGCUGCUAUUGUGACUGAUUUCUUACACAAACAUGAUUUUGACCUGAUAUGCAGAGCUCAUCAAGUUGUUGAGGAUGGUUACGAGUUCUUUGCUAAGCGGCAAUUAAUUACUUUAUUUUCAGCUCCAAAUUACUGCGGAGAGUUUGAUAAUGCUGCAGCAAUAAUGUCUGUUGAUGAAACACUGAUAUGCUCGUUUCGUAUUUUAAAGGUAUGAUCGUAACCAACACCUGUAAGAACAUAGGUAGAACGGUGUCUUAACAUCUCUCUUAGCCAAAUUUUAUUAAACCUCCGGCCAGCAAACGAAAAUACAUCUAGAAAGAUUGUCACUUGAAAGAAAAGAAAAAAAAUCAAUCA